RNAcentral lists this ribosomal RNA (2081 nucleotides) under Vibrio cholerae. RNAcentral describes it as "bacterial LSU rRNA". It matches the Rfam family "Bacterial large subunit ribosomal RNA", at positions 725 to 2793 of the family's 2925-position model. The record is from RNAcentral. Lineage: Bacteria; Pseudomonadati; Pseudomonadota; Gammaproteobacteria; Vibrionales; Vibrionaceae.
GUGAUCUAGCCAUGGGCAGGUUGAAGGUUGAGUAACAUCAACUGGAGGACCGAACCGACUAAUGUUGAAAAAUUAGCGGAUGACUUGUGGCUAGGGGUGAAAGGCCAAUCAAACUCGGAGAUAGCUGGUUCUCCCCGAAAGCUAUUUAGGUAGCGCCUCGGACGAAUACUACUGGGGGUAGAGCACUGUUAAGGCUAGGGGGUCAUCCCGACUUACCAACCCUUUGCAAACUCCGAAUACCAGUAAGUACUAUCCGGGAGACACACGGCGGGUGCUAACGUCCGUCGUGGAGAGGGAAACAACCCAGACCGCCAGCUAAGGUCCCAAAGUAUUGCUAAGUGGGAAACGAUGUGGGAAGGCUCAGACAGCUAGGAUGUUGGCUUAGAAGCAGCCAUCAUUUAAAGAAAGCGUAAUAGCUCACUAGUCGAGUCGGCCUGCGCGGAAGAUGUAACGGGGCUAAGCAAUACACCGAAGCUGCGGCAAUAUCUUUUAGAUAUUGGGUAGGGGAGCGUUCUGUAAGCCGUUGAAGGUGAAUCGUAAGGUUUGCUGGAGGUAUCAGAAGUGCGAAUGCUGACAUGAGUAACGACAAAGGGGGUGAAAAACCUCCUCGCCGGAAGACCAAGGGUUCCUGUCCAACGUUAAUCGGGGCAGGGUGAGUCGACCCCUAAGGUGAGGCCGAAAGGCGUAAUCGAUGGGAAACGGGUUAAUAUUCCCGUACUUCUGACUAUUGCGAUGGGGGGACGGAGAAGGCUAGGUGGGCCAGGCGACGGUUGUCCUGGUUCAAGUGCGUAGGCUUGAGAGUUAGGUAAAUCCGGCUCUCUCUAAGGCUGAGACACGACGUCGAGCUGCUACGGCAGUGAAGUCAUUGAUGCCAUGCUUCCAGGAAAAGCCUCUAAGCUUCAGAUAGUCAGGAAUCGUACCCCAAACCGACACAGGUGGUCGGGUAGAGAAUACCAAGGCGCUUGAGAGAACUCGGGUGAAGGAACUAGGCAAAAUGGUACCGUAACUUCGGGAGAAGGUACGCUCUUGAUGGUGAAGUCCCUCGCGGAUGGAGCUGACGAGAGUCGCAGAUACCAGGUGGCUGCAACUGUUUAUUAAAAACACAGCACUGUGCAAAAUCGCAAGAUGACGUAUACGGUGUGACGCCUGCCCGGUGCCGGAAGGUUAAUUGAUGGGGUUAGCGCAAGCGAAGCUCUUGAUCGAAGCCCCGGUAAACGGCGGCCGUAACUAUAACGGUCCUAAGGUAGCGAAAUUCCUUGUCGGGUAAGUUCCGACCUGCACGAAUGGCGUAAUGAUGGCCACGCUGUCUCCACCCGAGACUCAGUGAAAUUGAAAUCGCUGUGAAGAUGCAGUGUACCCGCGGCUAGACGGAAAGACCCCGUGAACCUUUACUACAGCUUGGCACUGAACAUUGAACCUACAUGUGUAGGAUAGGUGGGAGGCUAUGAAGACGUGACGCCAGUUGCGUUGGAGCCGUCCUUGAAAUACCACCCUUGUAUGUUUGAUGUUCUAACUUAGACCCAUUAUCUGGGUUGAGGACAGUGCCUGGUGGGUAGUUUGACUGGGGCGGUCUCCUCCCAAAGAGUAACGGAGGAGCACGAAGGUGGGCUAAUCACGGUUGGACAUCGUGAGGUUAGUGCAAUGGCAUAAGCCCGCUUAACUGCGAGAAUGACGGUUCGAGCAGGUGCGAAAGCAGGUCAUAGUGAUCCGGUGGUUCUGUAUGGAAGGGCCAUCGCUCAACGGAUAAAAGGUACUCCGGGGAUAACAGGCUGAUACCGCCCAAGAGUUCAUAUCGACGGCGGUGUUUGGCACCUCGAUGUCGGCUCAUCACAUCCUGGGGCUGAAGUCGGUCCCAAGGGUAUGGCUGUUCGCCAUUUAAAGUGGUACGCGAGCUGGGUUUAGAACGUCGUGAGACAGUUCGGUCCCUAUCUGCCGUGGGCGUUGGAAGAUUGAAGGGGGCUGCUCCUAGUACGAGAGGACCGGAGUGGACGAACCUCUGGUGUUCGGGUUGUGUCGCCAGACGCAUUGCCCGGUAGCUAAGUUCGGAAUUGAUAAGCGCUGAAAGCAUCUAAGCGCGAAGC